UGGACCGUCGGCAAGUGGUAAGCCACCGGUUUUUGGUACCGGUAUUCCGCUGGUUCGAAUCCAGCCGGUCCAG
This is a non-coding RNA of Treponema lecithinolyticum ATCC 700332, 73 nucleotides long. Lineage: Bacteria; Pseudomonadati; Spirochaetota; Spirochaetia; Treponematales; Treponemataceae. The record is from Rfam.